UCUCGAUUGGUCUAGUGGUCAGGAUACCUGCUUGUCAAAGGACAAUUCGCAGGUGGCCGGGGUUCGAUUCCCCGAUCGAGAG
Molecule: transfer RNA, 82 nt
Filed under: Hypomontagnella monticulosa
Lineage: Eukaryota; Fungi; Ascomycota; Sordariomycetes; Xylariales; Hypoxylaceae
Description: tRNA-Asp
Rfam family: tRNA
About the family: Transfer RNA (tRNA) molecules are approximately 80 nucleotides in length. Their secondary structure includes four short double-helical elements and three loops (D, anti-codon, and T loops).
Source: RNAcentral